This 1215-nucleotide ribosomal RNA is filed under the name Clostridioides difficile. RNAcentral describes it as "bacterial LSU rRNA". It matches the Rfam family "Bacterial large subunit ribosomal RNA", at positions 662 to 1895 of the family's 2925-position model. The record is from RNAcentral. Lineage: Bacteria; Bacillati; Bacillota; Clostridia; Peptostreptococcales; Peptostreptococcaceae.
GGAGCCGUAGCGAAAGCGAGUUUUAACUGAGCGUUCAGUUACUUGACGUAGACCCGAAACCGGGCGACCUACCCAUGAGCAGGAUGAAGCGAAAGUAAAAUUUCGUGGAGGUCCGAACCCACGAGCGUUGAAAAGCUCGGGGAUGACUUGUGGGUAGCGGUGAAAUUCCAAUCGAGCCCGGAGAUAGCUGGUUCUCCCCGAAAUAGCUUUAGGGCUAGCCUCAAGGUGAGAGAUACGGAGGUAGAGCACUGAAUGUCCUAGGGGGUAUUGCACCUACCGAAGACUAUCAAACUCCGAAUGCCGUCAUCUUAUACUUGGGAGUCAGACUGUGGGUGAUAAGAUUCAUAGUCGAAAGGGCAACAGCCCAGAUCGUCAGCUAAGGUCCCUAAAUGUAAGUUAAGUGGUAAAGGAUGUGGGAUUGCACAGACAACCAGGAUGUUGGCUUAGAAGCAGCCACUCAUUCAAAGAGUGCGUAAUAGCUCACUGGUCGAGUGAUCCUGCGCCGAAGAUUUCCGGGGCUAAAACUUACUACCGAAGCUACGGCAUCAGUAAUGAUGGGUAGGGGAGCUUCCCAUACGGGUUGAAGCAUGACCGUAAGGACAUGUGGACAGUAUGGGAGUGAGAAUGUUGGCAUGAGUAGCGAGAUGUGGGUGAGAAUCCCACAGGCCGUAAACCCAAGGUUUCCAGGGGAAGGUUCGUCCGCCCUGGGUUAGUCGGGACCUAAGCUGAGGCCGAAAGGCGUAGGUGAUGGACAACAGGUUGAUAUUCCUGUACUACCGAUAACCGUUUGAGAGAAGGGAUGACACAGUAGGAUAAGCUAAGCACACUGUUGGUUAUGUGUGCCCAAGCAUUGAGGCAGUCAAAGUAGGCAAAUCCGCUUUGAUAAUGCUGGGAUGUGAUGGGGAGCGAAAUUUAGUAGCGAAGUAGCUGAUUUCACACUGUCAAGAAAAGUCUCUAUCGAGGUUAAAGGUACCCGUACCGCAAACCGACACAGGUGGGUGAGGAGAGUAUCCUAAGGCCAGCGAGAGAACUGUUGUUAAGGAACUCGGCAAAAUGACCCCGUAACUUAGGGAUAAGGGGUGCCACCAUCAGGUGGCCGCAGAGAAUAGGCCCAAGCGACUGUUUACCAAAAACAUAGGUUUCUGCUAAGUCGCAAGACGAUGUAUAGGAGCUGACGCCUGCCCGGUGCUGGAAGGUUAAGGGGAUCUGUUAGAG